This is a long non-coding RNA of Ochotona princeps (American pika), 554 nucleotides long. RefSeq lists it as uncharacterized. The transcript has 3 exons. The record is from RefSeq and is a predicted model, not a curated record. NCBI's taxonomy places the organism in Eukaryota, Metazoa, Chordata, Mammalia, Lagomorpha, Ochotonidae.
GUUACAGCAAGGCGGAGGACGGGGAACCACUGUGUCUGACUGGAUCUUACGGCUGGGAAAGAGCCCCGAGGAGAAGCCGUGGUCUCCCCAGGCACGAUGGCAGGAAGGAAAAGAGGAACAGAAUGUGGCUGAGUAACGCCCAAGCGUGACCCACUUCCAAGCCCGGAGCUGGCUUGGUGGUGUCCUGCCCUGCCUGGUGCUGGUCACCCAGGGAGGGAGUGAGGAAUGGUGCUGGGUGGACUGCACUGCCUGAAAACACAGCCCAAAAUAGCUCUUCAUCCACUCCCCGGAUGGUGCCUGCGUAACUGCGCUCCGAUAUUAGAGGAACAGUUUCUGUCCGCACAACUGAUAACCAGGCCUGCACCAAUGGAUGAUGUUCCUGGCUAGACAGAAGUCUGAUCGUGGAGCAACAGGAUGCUGGCCCAUUCCAGAACAAUCCCUGUGCAUCCCAGGUUCCACACCUUAUGGAUCCACUGGCUGGUUUUUCCAGUUUGUUUCCUAAGAGCAAUUUACAAAUUUCUUUGAAGAACCAUCUGGAAGCUGGUCUCCUGAUC